GUCUACACUGUAAACACUGAAUGCUAAAAUUUAAAUAUGUUUUUAGAUUUUAUAAGCUAACGCAAUAAGCAUUCCGCCUGAAGAGUACGUUCGCAAGAUUGGAACUCAAAGGAAUUGACGGGGGCCUAUCCUAGCGGUGGAGCAUGUGGUUUAAUGCGAUAAUACGCGCGAAAUCUUACCAAUUUUUGUUAUAUAAAAAAUUUAUUAAUAAUUUUUUACUAAAUUUUAACAAUUUUAUGUUGAUAAUUUUUAUACAGGUGUUGCACGACUGUCGU
This 275-nucleotide ribosomal RNA is filed under the name uncultured bacterium. RNAcentral's name for it is "partial 16S ribosomal RNA". It matches the Rfam family "Bacterial small subunit ribosomal RNA", at positions 793 to 1055 of the family's 1533-position model. The record is from RNAcentral.